GACUGAACGCCUCUAAGUCAGAAGCCAUGCUAGGAGCGAUGCCAUCUGUCCCGGAGAUCGUCACCCGACUAGUUAUAGGCUUCGGCCCUGUAGCAUACCUUCAUCACAAUUCCAUGCGUUCUCUGGGGUAAAUCCUUUGCAGACGACUUAAUUCGAAUGGGGUAUUGUAAGCAGUAGAGUGGCCUUGCUGCUACGAUCUGCUGAGAUUCAGCCCUUAUUCGUAAGAUUU
This 229-nucleotide ribosomal RNA is filed under the name Strombidium rassoulzadegani. Its description in RNAcentral is "partial Eukaryotic large subunit ribosomal RNA". It matches the Rfam family "Eukaryotic large subunit ribosomal RNA", at positions 3118 to 3399 of the family's 3401-position model. Lineage: Eukaryota; Ciliophora; Spirotrichea; Strombidiidae. The record is from RNAcentral.